CAGUCGAACGAGCGAGAGAAAGCUUGCUUUCUCGAGCGAGUGGCGAACGGGUGACUAACGCGUGAGGAACCUGCCUCAAAGAGGGGGACAACAGUUGGAAACGACUGCUAAUACCGCAUAAGCCCACAGGUCGGCAUCGACCAGAGGGAAAAGGAGCAAUCCGCUUUGAGAUGGCCUCGCGUCCGAUUAGCUAGUUGGUGAGGUAAUGGCCCACCAAGGCGACGAUCGGUAGCCGGACUGAGAGGUUGAACGGCCACAUUGGGACUGAGACACGGCCCAGACUCCUACGGGAGGCAGCAGUGGGGAAUAUUGCACAAUGGGGGAAACCCUGAUGCAGCGACGCCGCGUGGAGGAAGAAGGUCUUCGGAUUGUAAACUCCUGUUGUUGAGGAAGAUAAUGACGGUACUCAACAAGGAAGUGACGGCUAACUACGUGCCAGCAGCCGCGGUAAAACGUAGGUCACAAGCGUUGUCCGGAAUUACUGGGUGUAAAGGGAGCGCAGGCGGGAAGACAAGUUGGAAGUGAAAUCUAUGGGCUCAACCCAUAAACUGCUUUCAAAACUGUUUUUCUUGAGUAGUGCAGAGGUAGGCGGAAUUCCCGGUGUAGCGGUGGAAUGCGUAGAUAUCGGGAGGAACACCAGUGGCGAAGGUGGCCUACUGGGCACCAACUGACGCUGAGGCUCGAAAGUG
This 689-nucleotide ribosomal RNA is filed under the name uncultured bacterium. Its description in RNAcentral is "bacterial SSU rRNA". It matches the Rfam family "Bacterial small subunit ribosomal RNA", at positions 59 to 761 of the family's 1533-position model. The record is from RNAcentral.